RNAcentral lists this small nuclear RNA (96 nucleotides) under Neogobius melanostomus (round goby). Lineage: Eukaryota; Metazoa; Chordata; Actinopteri; Gobiiformes; Gobiidae. The record is from RNAcentral.
UGGCAGUGUGUUCCAAUUUCCCAAUUCUCAUAGAGAAGAUUAGCACCUCCGCAGCGCAAGGAUGACACGCAAAUUCGUGAAGCGUUCCUCAUUUUG